UGGGGAAUAUUGGGCAAUGGGCGCAAGCCUGACCCAGCGACGCCGCGUGGGCGAUGAAGGCCUUCGGGUUGUAAAGCCCUGUCAUGUGGAAAGAACAGUCCCGUGGUGAAUAUCCACGGGAUUUGACGGUACCACAGGAGGAAGCACCGGCUAACUCCGUGCCAGCAGCCGCGGUAAUACGGAGGGUGCAAGCGUUGUUCGGAAUUAUUGGGCGUAAAGGGCGCGUAGGCGGUUGUGAAAGUCAGAUGUGAAAUACUUCGGCUCAACUGAAGAACUGCAUCUGAAACUUCAUAACUCGAGUACAGGAGAGGGAAACGGAAUUCCCGGUGUGGAGGUGAAAUUCGUAGAUAUCGGGAGGAACACCAGUGGCGAAGGCGGUUUCCUGGCCUGAUACUGACGCUGAGGCGCGAAAGCGUGGGGAGCAAACAG
RNAcentral lists this ribosomal RNA (429 nucleotides) under uncultured bacterium. RNAcentral's name for it is "bacterial SSU rRNA". It matches the Rfam family "Bacterial small subunit ribosomal RNA", at positions 355 to 775 of the family's 1533-position model. The record is from RNAcentral.